Zonotrichia albicollis (white-throated sparrow) is the source of this 725-nucleotide long non-coding RNA. NCBI's taxonomy places the organism in Eukaryota, Metazoa, Chordata, Aves, Passeriformes, Passerellidae. The record is from Ensembl.
UCCCCGUUCCUGGGGUGUCCCAGUUUUGGGGUGUCCCCAUCGUUCUGGGGGUGUCCCCAUUGUUCUGGGGGUUUCCCCAUUCCGGUGGUAUCUCGGUUUUGGGGUGUCCCUAUUCUGGUGUGUCCCAGUUUUGGGGUGUCUUGGUUCUGGGUGUGUCCUGUUUUUGGGGUGUCCUGGUUCCAGGGGUUUCCCCAUUCUGGGUGUCCCCAUUCCGGUGUGUCCUAUUUUUGGGAUAUCAGUUUUUGGGGUAUCCCGUUUUUGGGGUGUCCCAGUUCUGGGGUAUCCCAGUUUUUGGGGUAUCCCAUUUUUGGGGUGUCUCAGUUCUGGGGUAUCCCAGUUUUGGUGCAUCCCGUUUUUGGGGUGUCCCUAUUCCAAGGUGUGCCUUUUUUGGGGUGUCCUGGUUCCAGUGUAUCCCAUUUUUGAGGUGUCCCCAUCCCGGUGUGCCCCGUUUUUGGCAUAUAUUGUUUUUGGCAUAUCCCGUUUUUGGCGUAUCCCGUUUUGGGGGUAUUCUGUUUUCGGGUUGUCCCAUUUUUGAGGUAUCCCGGUUUUGGGGUGUCCCAUUUUUGGGGUGUCCCCAUCCCAGUAUAUCCCAUUUUUGGGCUGUAUCCCAUUUUUGGGGUGUAUCCCGUUUUUGGGGUGUCCUGGUUCCAGUGUAUCCCAUUUUUGGGGUGUCCCAUUUUUGGGGCGUAUCCUGGUUUUGGUGUGUCCCAUUUUUGGGGUGUCCU